GGGCGGCGAGCGGCGAACGGGUGAGUAACGCAUCGGAACGUACCCUGUCGUGGGGGAUAACUAUCCGAAAGGAUGGCUAAUACCGCAUACGACCUGAGGGUGAAAGCGGGGGGAUCGCAAGGACCUCGCGCGAUAGGAGCGGCCGAUGCCGGAUUAGCUAGUUGGUGAGGUAAAGGCUCACCAAGGCGACGAUCCGUAGCUGGUCUGAGAGGACGACCAGCCACACUGGGACUGAGACACGGCCCAGACUCCUACGGGAGGCAGCAGUGGGGAAUUUUGGACAAUGGGGCAACCUGAUCCAGCCAUUCCGCGUGAGUGAAGAAGGCCUUCGGGUUGUAAAGCUCUUUUCGGCAGGAACGAAAACGGCGGGCUCUAACAUAGCCUGCUAAUGACGGUACCUGAAGAAGAAGCACCGGCUAACUACGUGCCAGCAGCCGCGGUAAUACGUAGGGUGCGAGCGUUAAUCGGAAUUACUGGGC
This 479-nucleotide ribosomal RNA is filed under the name uncultured bacterium. RNAcentral describes it as "bacterial SSU rRNA". It matches the Rfam family "Bacterial small subunit ribosomal RNA", at positions 86 to 559 of the family's 1533-position model. The record is from RNAcentral.